RNAcentral lists this ribosomal RNA (492 nucleotides) under uncultured bacterium. Its description in RNAcentral is "partial 16S ribosomal RNA". It matches the Rfam family "Bacterial small subunit ribosomal RNA", at positions 29 to 507 of the family's 1533-position model. The record is from RNAcentral.
AGUGAACGCUGGCGGUAGGCCUAACACAUGCAAGUCGAACGGCAGCACAGUAAGAUCUUGCUCUUACGGGUGGCGAGUGGCGGACGGGUGAGGAAUACAUCGGAAUCUACUUUUUCGUGGGGGAUAACGUAGGGAAACUUACGCUAAUACCGCAUACGACCUACGGGUGAAAGCAGGGGAUCUUCGCACCUUGCGCGAUUGAAUGAGCCGAUGUCGGAUUAGCUAGUUGGCGGGGUAAAGGCCCACCAAGGCGACGAUCCGUAGCUGGUCUGAGAGGAUGAUCAGCCACACUGGAACUGAGACACGGUCCAGACUCCUACGGGAGGCAGCAGUGGGGAAUAUUGGACAAUGGGCGCAAGCCUGAUCCAGCCAUACCGCGUGAGUGGAGAAGGCCUUCGGGUUGUAAAGCCCUUUUGUUGGGAAAGAAAAGCAGCAGGUUAAUACCCCGCUGUUCUGACGGUACCCAAAGAAUAAGCACCGGCUAACUUCGUG